RNAcentral lists this ribosomal RNA (253 nucleotides) under uncultured bacterium. RNAcentral's name for it is "partial 16S ribosomal RNA". It matches the Rfam family "Bacterial small subunit ribosomal RNA", at positions 524 to 776 of the family's 1533-position model. The record is from RNAcentral.
UACGUAGGGAGCAAGCGUUGUCCGGAAUCAUUGGGCGUAAAGCGCGCGUAGGUGGCUUCGUAAGUCCGUUGUGAAAGUCAAAGGCUCAACCUUUGAAAGCCGAUGGAUACUGUGAAGCUAGAGUACGGAAGAGGCGAGUGGAAUUCCUGGUGUAGCGGUGGAAUGCGCAGAUAUCAGGAGGAACACCGGUGGCGAAGGCGGGAUCCUGGGCCAGUACUGACGCUGAUGAGCGAAAGCGUGGGGAGCAAACAGG